GCUACCUGUGGAACGGACCAAUCAGAAUCAGCUCCAUUGGCCACGCGCUUCACAAAGGAACGCAAUUGCUUUCUGGAAACCGUGAACACUAAACGGUGGAUGUCAUGAGGACAGGAAACGUGCAAUGUGCAUGGGGAGCGAAGACAAGAUGAGGAGGAGGGAAGUAGACAAGACAGACUGGGGGCUGUCAGUGAGACGUUAACACUAAUUAAUAGUGAAUUAGUCUCAAAGUACAAAUAGGGCAAUUUAAGAGUUCAGUUCACAUUGUAUAUUAUUUUGUACAGUAUUGUGCAUUAGUCUUGGCUAAUCAGAAAAUGUGCAAAUGAUCAUAUAUUGGUGUAAAGCUGACAUCAUGUCUAUCAAAGUGUUUAGCUCUCCAGAUUUUUCUGGAGGACAGAAGAAAUUCUUGUUAGUUUUUCUUGUGUCACUGUUAAUUCGCAUGUAUUCUAACGCUAACGUUUCUUAAUCUGUUUUUCUAAGCAAAUAGACACACAGCACCCAGAUUAAUGGCUUUAAAACAUUCCCUCUGACUUCUGCGCAGUGCUGUACGUCCGCCGCGGAGACGAGGCGUCUCUGUGGAAAUGAGAAGUCCGGGUACCUCGCUCUUAAUCUGGACCUGUGUGGAGGAAAAAGAAAAAAAACUAAUGAAUGAUGAUCCAGAGUUUGACAAGGAAAGACCUGCAAGCUGAAACGGUUUUACCUGCUGCAUGCACUUGAACUCAUUCUCUUCCGCGUCGAUUGCGAUGGCCUCGUCUGCAGAGUCCAUGCGCUUGGCCAGUUUCUCCAGUUGCUUGUGGUACAACGCGAUCUCUUUGGGGGUGAAGUUCCCACCUUCUGAAAACAACCUAGGAGCAGAAGAGAGUCUGACAAAUCCCAAUAAAGAUGAAAG
This is a long non-coding RNA of Brienomyrus brachyistius, 889 nucleotides long. RefSeq lists it as uncharacterized. The transcript is spliced from 2 exons. Lineage: Eukaryota; Metazoa; Chordata; Actinopteri; Osteoglossiformes; Mormyridae. The record is from RefSeq and is a predicted model, not a curated record.